CUGCACUCUUGGGCAACAGAGCGAGACUCUGUCUCAAACAAAACAACACAAACAAAAACCCGUAAGUACUUAGAAAAUGAAGAGAUUACAUUUAUAAGGUAAAUUUAAAGUAUUUGAGAGAUUUUACCAAAUUGUAAAAAGAGAUUGCUAAAUUUUGUUACACUUAUACUCAGGAUAUGCUUAAGGGAGAGCGAUGAGUUUUAAUAUUUAAUGAAUGUUAAUCUGCGAAUUUCUUAAACCCACGAGCCCCGCCCCCCCCGGGUCCCCGGGGUCUCCUCCUAGUCCCGCCCCGGCUCCCGGCCCACCAUUCGCCCCUCCCCCUGGGCCCGGGGCCCGCCCACUCCAGGCUUCGCCAGGGGCGGAGGCGACGUCGUGCGCACGCGCGGGCCGUGCUGCGGGACCUUGGAGCGCCGGAACCUGAGAGGCGGGUCGCGGCGGCGCACAGGAGGUCGGCUGCGGGAGCGUUUCCGGGGACGGUGCUGCCAUGACACUGGCCCCGCGCGCGCUGUGCAGCACCGCCCAGGCCGCCUGGCGGGAGAACUUCCUACUGAGCGGCCGCGACGUGGCGCGCUGGUUCCCGGGCCACAUGGCCAAGGGGCUGAAGAAGAUGAAGAGCAGCCUGAAGCUGGUGGACUGUAUCAUCGAGGUCCAUGAUGCCCGAAUCCCACUUUCAGGCCGCAACCCUCUGUUUCAGGAAACCCUUGGGCUUAAGCCUCACUUGCUGGUCCUCAACAAGAUGGACUUGGCGGAUCUUACAGAGCAGCAGAAAAUUAUGCAACGCUUAGAAGGAGAAGGCCUAAAAAAUGUCAUUUUUACCAACUGUUUAAAGGAUGAAAAUGUCAAGCAGAUCAUCCCGAUGGUCACUGAGCUGAUGGGGAGCAGCCCCCGCUACCACCGAGGAGAGAACCUGGAGUACUGCAUCAUGGUCAUCGGGGUCCCCAACGUGGGCAAGUCCUCCCUGAUCAACUCCCUCCGGAGGCAGCACCUCAGGAAAGGAAAAGCCGCCAGGGUGGGUGGCGAGCCUGGGAUCACCAGAGCUGUGAUGUCCAGAAUUCAGGUCUCUGAGCGGCCCCUGAUGUUCCUGUUGGACACUCCUGGAGUGCUGGCUCCUCGGAUUGAAAGUGUGGAGACAGGCCUGAAGCUGGCCCUGUGUGGAACGGUGCUGGACCACCUGGUCGGGGAGGAGACCAUGGCUGACUACCUGCUGUUCACCCUCAACAGACACCAGCGCUUUGGCAAGAGCUCCAGUGGUGGGAGCCACCCUCCAUGCUGCUGGCCAUGGCCACACAGGACAAAGCUCAGGGAUGGUUCUUAGACAGUGGCUCUCCCCCGGGGCUCAGCACCAGUCACCUCCAGUGCCAUCUUCGUCAUCCACAGCACUGCAGUCACUGUCACCCACAGGAGUUGCCUAGCCAUGGCCUUUGUGGCAUUCAGGAGCAAGGGCCCGGCCUGGCUGGCUGUGCACCUGGCUGUCUGCGUGGUGUCAGUGCUGGGCCCCCUGGUGCUGACCUGCAGCCUGUGUGCAGGUACGUGCAGCACUACGGCCUGGGCAGUGCCUGUGACAGCAUAGAGCGUGUGCUGAAGAGUGUGGCUGUGAAGCUGGGGAAGACACAGAAGGUGAAGGUGCUCACGGGCACGGGUGACGUGAACGUUGUUCAGCCUGACUAUCCUGCGGCAGCCCGUGACUUCCUCCAUACCUUCCGCCGCGGGCUGCUGGGCCCCGUGAUGCUGGACCUCGACAUCCUGCGUGGCCACCCCCCGGCCGAGACUGUGCCCUGAACUUGUCCGGGUGGGGAGGGCCACGAGUGGCCUCCCAGACCUCCUCACCUGGGUGGUUGAGGCUCAAGACAGCUCACCUGGUCCAGGAGCUCCACGCUGGCCACUAGGGUGCUGUGCUCUCUGGUGCCCCCACGGCCUGGCUAGCUCCAGGGGCCCCAGUUCCAGGGGCCAAGCAGGUGGGAGUGGACACCAGGCUUCCCAGGUGACGUCCCUGAGCAGCUCCGCAUGCUUGGUUCUCCCGGAGCUUCCUGCUCAGGCCUCUUGAGAAAUGGAUGCUGUCUCAGAAGGAGUUAAAGCUAUAACCUGUAACCUUUAAAAUCUCCAAUUAAAGGGCCUGUUUCUUACUGGCCUGUGAGGUAUAC
This is an RNA transcript of Macaca mulatta (Rhesus monkey), 2141 nucleotides long. It is a transcript of the gene named mitochondrial ribosome associated GTPase 1, with no coding region annotated. The record is from RefSeq and is marked provisional. NCBI's taxonomy places the organism in Eukaryota, Metazoa, Chordata, Mammalia, Primates, Cercopithecidae.